Molecule: ribosomal RNA, 1905 nt
Filed under: Salmonella enterica
Lineage: Bacteria; Pseudomonadati; Pseudomonadota; Gammaproteobacteria; Enterobacterales; Enterobacteriaceae
Also listed under: 1 other name
Description: partial 23S ribosomal RNA
Rfam family: Bacterial large subunit ribosomal RNA
Source: RNAcentral
UAACGUCCGUCGUGAAGAGGGAAACAACCCAGACCGCCAGCUAAGGUCCCAAAGUCAUGGUUAAGUGGGAAACGAUGUGGGAAGGCCCAGACAGCCAGGAUGUUGGCUUAGAAGCAGCCAUCAUUUAAAGAAAGCGUAAUAGCUCACUGGUCGAGUCGGCCUGCGCGGAAGAUGUAACGGGGCUAAACCAUGCACCGAAGCUGCGGCAGCGAACGUAUCACCCAAGACAACUUUACGGAGUUGACGAUUGACGGAGCGAAGCGACGUCAAAGCGUUCAUUAAAGUCGAGUUGGCUUAGGGAUACGUUCGUUGGGUAGGGGAGCGUUCUGUAAGCCUGUGAAGGUGUGUCGUGAGGCAUGCUGGAGGUAUCAGAAGUGCGAAUGCUGACAUAAGUAACGAUAAAGCGGGUGAAAAGCCCGCUCGCCGGAAGACCAAGGGUUCCUGUCCAACGUUAAUCGGGGCAGGGUGAGUCGACCCCUAAGGCGAGGCCGAAAGGCGUAGUCGAUGGGAAACGGGUUAAUAUUCCCGUACUUGGUGUUACUGCGAAGGGGGGACGGAGAAGGCUAUGUUGGCCGGGCGACGGUUGUCCCGGUUUAAGCGUGUAGGUGUGUGUUCCAGGUAAAUCCGGUUCACUUUAACACUGAGGCGUGACGACGAGGCACUACGGUGCUGAAGCAACAAAUGCCCUGCUUCCAGGAAAAGCCUCUAAGCAUCAGGUAACACGAAAUCGUACCCCAAACCGACACAGGUGGUCAGGUAGAGAAUACCAAGGCGCUUGAGAGAACUCGGGUGAAGGAACUAGGCAAAAUGGUGCCGUAACUUCGGGAGAAGGCACGCUGACACGUAGGUGAAGUGAUUUACUCAUGGAGCUGAAGUCAGUCGAAGAUACCAGCUGGCUGCAACUGUUUAUUAAAAACACAGCACUGUGCAAACACGAAAGUGGACGUAUACGGUGUGACGCCUGCCCGGUGCCGGAAGGUUAAUUGAUGGGGUCAGCGUAAGCGAAGCUCCUGAUCGAAGCCCCGGUAAACGGCGGCCGUAACUAUAACGGUCCUAAGGUAGCGAAAUUCCUUGUCGGGUAAGUUCCGACCUGCACGAAUGGCGUAAUGAUGGCCAGGCUGUCUCCACCCGAGACUCAGUGAAAUUGAACUCGCUGUGAAGAUGCAGUGUACCCGCGGCAAGACGGAAAGACCCCGUGAACCUUUACUAUAGCUUGACACUGAACAUUGAGCCUUGAUGUGUAGGAUAGGUGGGAGGCUUUGAAGUGUGGACGCCAGUCUGCAUGGAGCCGACCUUGAAAUACCACCCUUUAAUGUUUGAUGUUCUAACGUGGACCCGUAAUCCGGGUUGCGGACAGUGUCUGGUGGGUAGUUUGACUGGGGCGGUCUCCUCCUAAAGAGUAACGGAGGAGCACGAAGGUUGGCUAAUCCUGGUCGGACAUCAGGAGGUUAGUGCAAUGGCAUAAGCCAGCUUGACUGCGAGCGUGACGGCGCGAGCAGGUGCGAAAGCAGGUCAUAGUGAUCCGGUGGUUCUGAAUGGAAGGGCCAUCGCUCAACGGAUAAAAGGUACUCCGGGGAUAACAGGCUGAUACCGCCCAAGAGUUCAUAUCGACGGCGGUGUUUGGCACCUCGAUGUCGGCUCAUCACAUCCUGGGGCUGAAGUAGGUCCCAAGGGUAUGGCUGUUCGCCAUUUAAAGUGGUACGCGAGCUGGGUUUAGAACGUCGUGAGACAGUUCGGUCCCUAUCUGCCGUGGGCGCUGGAGAACUGAGGGGGGCUGCUCCUAGUACGAGAGGACCGGAGUGGACGCAUCACUGGUGUUCGGGUUGUCAUGCCAAUGGCACUGCCCGGUAGCUAAAUGCGGAAGAGAUAAGUGCUGAAAGCAUCUAAGCACGAAACUUGCCCCGA